GUGAUUACGUCAUUUCCCCUACCAGCAUGCAACAGGUGUUUUGACAGGCUGUGAUUACAAACGUUGGGAUGGUGAAGAGUUAAGAAAGUUUUAUUAAGAAAGAAUAGUUUUAAUGCAUUAAAUAAACCUUUGCAGACAGGUGUCGCUCUAAAUUAACUCUAAAUAUUUACAAGAAUCCUCGCGGAGAAACUGUAACGGGAUGCAGCCUCUGUUUUGCAGUGUUUUGCUACGGAAGAUAAAAGCUGAGGACACAGAACCAAGAAAAAAGCAACAAAAAAGAAAGAAAAAACCAAAACAAGCGCCGUUUCUCCAGAAGGGACAGCAAUUUUUCUAUUGAAGACCCUGGCAUUUUUGGAAAUAAAGAUUCCACUGAGGAUUGUAACCCCUGGACCUUCCCCUAUGAUCUGCAGGUUUUGAUGACAUGACAGGGGUUUCCUUGACCUUUGCCCUGUUGAUAAAACAUUUAAAAAUAAUCAUCUAGUAUAUAUAUCCCUCUCCUCGUCGUAUUUUGAGUCAAGUAAUAAAAAUUCAUUAUUCUUUUGCCCCAGGUGAGUGCUGAAUAAGUGCAAAAAAUUAUUCUUAUGUUCUCCAGGCUACAUCAAUGAAACAGAAUUUAAUUUUGAUUUUUUUUUUUUUUUUUUUUCCCUAGAGACCUUUGUGGUUCUGUCUUGUACUAAAAUAUGAGGCAGCCGGCGCUUCUCAAUUAUUUGAUCUGAAGUGUUUUAUUUUUCUGCCAUGUUGGGAUCUCUGCAGUCACAUAUAAUAAUAAUAUCACUUUCAUAACUGUUGUUUGUUUGUUUGCUCCUCUCUGGAUCAACUGCAUCAGCCACAGAACUCUGUCGUGUCUCACUUUAAGGUAAAAAUAAGCGAGAAAAUCUGGUCUCGCCACAGUGUUAUACAUUGACUGUUGGCUACAACGGCUUUGACAGAAUGUCGUACCGAGUUCAACCACUCAUUUCAAUGGUCAGUUGAUCCUCAGCCUCUGUCAGCUGUUAAUUGAAACCCCUGAAAACCUAAUUAGGGCUCAGAGCCUGAAUGGACUCGACGACAAAAGAUGCCGAAGCAAAAUGGGCCUCAGCUUCAUUACAGUCAGUUUGAUUAACGGACUAAUUUAUUAUUUUAUUUAUUUUACAAAUGUGUUCAAUACUUUCUUUCAAAAUAUGUACGGAUUUUGCACAAAAGUUCUAAAAUUGUAAAGAUUUCCAAUACUUUUGAAGUACUUGUUUGCGUGAUGCACGUUGGGAGAAGUUGUUUGGACAAGUCAAAUUGACAGUGAAUAUUGUAAUAUGUUGUAGUUUUAUAUACAUUACCAUGUUAAAGAUUUGUUAUAUUAUUAUGUGUGUUUAUUUAGUUGAACGUAGCAGUUGUUGGUGAGACAGUAUUCUGACUGUUUACACCAAAUUAAACAUUUUGUUUGUUUACUGCUUGAAAAAUUGUCGAAUUUAUCCCGCUCCUCAUUGCGUAUUCAGCAAAGUGACACAGUGAACUGCAGUAAAGUGUUUCCUUGUCAUAUUAAUGCCAGAACAUAGAAAGAGUGAUGAAUGGGUUUGAGUCCUGCAGCACAGAUUAGCAGUAGUACUGUAGGUUCUGGACUGCAGUAUUCUAAACAUGAGAGCAGAGUUUCCCCAACAUUGAUUAAACAUCCAGAGCUGUUUGCUCUCUAAAUGAGAUUUCCUAUAAUAAAAUGAUUAGUCAAAGCUGUUGCAUAUUCCUCCCCUUCACACAGUGUUUUAGGGCUUUUUUUUCAGGUCAUUAUUCUGCUCUGGAGUUUGUUAUAUUAUUAUUUGCUGGGUCUGUUGAUCGUUUAGCUCACAUUUCCACAUUACUUUUCCGUUUCCUUCUAUUAUUCAUCACAUUUUGAGCUGUUAUUAGAUCGAUUAACAGCUCUCUGCCGCCCUCACACGCCACAUUUUCUCUGAAUAUUGCAUAAUAAACUCGGGGUUUGAUGUCAUUUUAUAGAUCCUCCAGACCUCUGGUGAAUUCACAUCCACAGCACUGUGCAGUUUUCUUCCCCUCCUCUCAGUGGCUCCGGUAACUUCAGCCUGCCUCACAGCAGUGGAACAUUCUCACCUCGCUCCUUUGUCACAUAAUUGGUUCACAUACAAUGCACUGGUAUUUUUCUCUGUAUACACUGCAGGUGCCAUUAGAGGCAGGUCAUGUGCGCAGGAUAUAGGCAUUAGGUAGAAACAGGAGACAGAGAUGAAGAGGUUGGAUAUUAAAGGGAGCCGUGGUGCAGAAAUGCAGCAGGAGGUGACAGGGUUUGAAGAAUGGAUGAAGAUUUAGAGCCGAGCCGAGGGAAGAGAGUUCUUGUGGAAGAUCAGCUUCAGAUCCUGGUGUUUUUUUUUUCACGGCCUGCUUGAUCUAAGACGUGCUAAUUUCAUUAGGUGGUAAUUUUCCACGGUGUUUGGUGUGGACGCCUUACAGCCAGAAGGUCAACUGUUCUUAUACCAGUUUCUACCGAAAACAUUCACAAUUCUUACUUACAGAUUUCUAUCCCCCCCCCUUGCCUGCAGGGGUGCUCCUCCUCAAACUCAAUGAGAAGAUAUUCUAAAAGUGCCAAAAGGUGAAUAAUGUACCUACGGAGACUAGUAAUGACCUUAUUACUGUUUUUCAACCACAAAAAUCCCUACGAUUGUAUGUUGUUGAGCAAGAGUUAUUUUUAUUGAACAAAUCAUUAAAGGACUGUACAGAAACUGACCUUUAACCUUACUAGAUAAGACUAAUUAAUUUUCACGUGUUCAACUUCACAACUAACCUCCUUAUCUUCCAUCCUGUUUGAUGUUGUUGUUUCCCAAGACUUAGCCAGAAUAUGGUUUGUCAGAACGUACUUUGUUGCCACCACUGGCUGCUCUUCAUGUUCACGUUCUGCUUGAAUGACUGUUGAAGUUGAAGCACUGCUGUGUUUUCAUCCAAACCCACUUGAUGUUUUUCCUGAUGUCUUCAAAGAGUGAAUGAAAUGGGCGUCUUAAAGUCACGCAUGUGUUUUGUUUCCCGACAAAAACCUGGGAGUUGAACCUCUGACGUCUGCGGCUCCAGAGUGAAAGAAGUAGCGAGCCUUAGAGUGAUUUAAAGAUGAAGGCUGUCAGCUCCGCCGCUUCCAUUCAAGGGGCCACGAGAGAAUAAAAUUGCAUCAGAGCCUUUUGUGACAAUAGAACAAUGGCUGUGAGACUGAAUAGACUGGAGACGAAGUGACAGCUGGAAAUGGGAGAGGAAUAAGAUUGAACUGAACUCUUCCUGGACAACAUUCAUGGCAUUUACUAUGUAAGAUGAAUCACAGAUGGAGACUGAGGUUUGGAUGAAGCAGCAACACAUUCACCGCGUUGGAUUCUGGUUCCUACAUACGACAUAUUAGACGGACUGUUAUUUUCAUUUUAGUCAUUUGAACUGUGGUAAUUAAUUAGUUAAGAUUUGAGAUUUUUCAAACUAUCAAAGCUUUUCAACAGGUUUUGAUCCAAGCUCAGUAUGAUUUUUUAUACCUGAACUGAACCAUUCACUCAACCGUAGCACUAGCCAAACUGACGUCUUUACUCACAUACUGCACAUAUAAUAAUAAUACACACAUAUACUCACAGUGUAUACACUGUACUCUAUGCCUCAGGCAGAAUUCAAUACUUUCCAACCAUCAUCCCUCCAGGCGUCAGAGCAGCUGCUGCUGAUGAUCAGUUCACGUAUCGACAGUCUAUUCAUGAGUAUUGAGUCAUGUGUUGAAUAAGAGCCACAAUGGCGGCGUUGGCCCGCUCUCCAAAGGAUAUACACGCCCCAUUGCUCUUUUCUGAGUGUGUAUGAGAGUGCAUUUCUAAAGUAUACCUUGUUUAUUAGUCUCAUUUGUGCAUGUGUGUGUGCGUGUGUGUGUGUGUGUGUGUGGGCUGCUGUGAUUCAUGCUGCUCUUGGAAUCAUUUGUUAAAACCUCGCCAACAGUUUUUGUUUUGGACCGAGAGCCGAGGCCGCCAACUUCAGAUGAUGACAGUCGAUAAAGGGCGUGUUUGAAGUGUUUGUGAGCCGCGGUGUUUUAUAGGUGUUCAACGCAGUGCUGUGCAAAGUAUUUGUCUAAAGGUGAAGGGUUCGAUGCUCUUGUGUUUCCUGGAAUUAUGAGCCCCAUGUUUCACAGAGGGGUCUUUUGUGGCAGAGUGGGUUUUUUGGGGGUGGAGAGAGUUCUGAAUUCUCUGAGCACAAAGAGCACAUUUGAAAAGAUAAGGUAUUUGUCAGGUACUACAAUGUGACCUUUCCUGUUAGUUUGGAAAGACAUACAAAUAUAAUUGGACGUAUGAUUGAGUGAUGAUCUGUAUUAUUGGGUUGAUUUAAGUUGGUACAGGAAUAUAGCAGAAUGACAGGGUGAGUCAUGUGACCAGUGGCAUUAAUCAUACUCUAUAUAUAACAUUUUUCUUCUGGUUACGUCUGUGGACAUGUUUAUAUAAUCAGAGCUUUUUUUUUUAUUGUUGAAGUUACAGUUUAAAUUCUUCCUUAUUCUUCCUUUUUAAUCCAAUCCAUUAGUCUAAAAAAUACUGUUGCUUAGUUUUUCAAUGACCACAUCACGCCAUAACAAUAGCACUGCACCACAGUUUUAGCCUCCCUCUGCAGCCCCUCUGAGCAACCAUGACUUGCAAAGUGAAGUAAUAACGUCAGGCUACAAAAAACAAAGGUUUUUUUGUAGCCUGAAAGAAGAAAGUGAAACCUCCAACUUCUUAUCCAACCAAAGUUUUAUUGUCAUUACAUAGAUUUUUAUGUAUUUUUUCCUCAUUUUAUUCAUUCUGUCUCAUUAAUUCUUUUACUCCUCAACCAAAUGGUGCAGCGGCCUUGUUUUGUGGGGAAACCCCAGCAGCUCUUCUCCUCUUUACAUAUGAAUCUGUCACGGCCGCCGUUUAUCACGGCUGCUUUGAAGAAAGAUUUGCAUCUGAUAAAUCCAAUAAGUGUUGUCCUGUUUGGGCUCCUGCCUCUCUAAAUUGCAGUCACACUGCCAAGCAUGGUUGGCUUUUCAUGAGGCGACGCGUUUGUUGACAAACAUGUGAUGAGGUGAAUGUUUGAAUAACUAAUUCAAAAAGCAAUUUAGCAAUGAAUGAGAUGUAAAAAAAAACAAAACAGGGUUAGGAAGGCACAAUCUUGUUAGCAUUUUGUAAUAUGCACACGAGAGCUGGGGUAAAAAAGCAAUUGCAUGUUCUCAUUAGCAGCGACAGUUGGGGGGAAACACAAUAAGUAAGUGAGUGAGAUGGAAAGGUUUACACAUCACAGCACUAGAGUGUCCUCUGUGUCUUUCAGUGGCUUUAAUCCUAAAAAUUGUAGCAAACAAUUAUUUGCACAGGCAAAGCUUUUAAAAGCAAUUUAAACGGCUCUCUGUUAUAAAACCUCAGCCUCGUGGUACAAAUACAUGAAAUAUUCAUAGCCAUGUUUUAUGUUUGUACACUCUGUGACAAUGAUGCACUGCUUUAAGCUGAAACAAGAUUUUUAAUCUUCUUGAAACAUUUUGUUGUUGUUUUUUAAAGCCAUUAAUCACCACAAGUCUUUACCUGAAUAAUUUACGCCACUCGAAGCACUUCAUUAUAUUCACUAAGGAAAUUUAUGUCAUGUGAUAUAAUCAUUAUUCUGUAAGGCGUGGACUGAAGAGGUUUGUCAAGUGACCUUGGAUUAGACCGGCGCCCCCUACAGUGACCGGGAUUCGACGUCACUCUCGAGGAAUUUUACCAAAUCAGUCCCAGACUCCAGGGUUUUGACCCAAAAGGUUCUGGAAGAUGUCAUUUUAUUUUAAUUUCCACCUGUAAACCCAGCACAGACCCGUCUCCUUCACCUCUGUGUCUGGUUGCCUCCGGAUUUAAAGCCACGCAGAUCGGUGAUUUUUUUUUUGUUUUUUUGUUUCUUGGAUCGACUGUCCUGUCUUUCCUCAAUUAGCCACAGCAAUCUGUCAGCGUU
This is a long non-coding RNA of Cynoglossus semilaevis (tongue sole), 5901 nucleotides long. RefSeq lists it as uncharacterized. The transcript has 3 exons. The record is from RefSeq and is a predicted model, not a curated record. NCBI's taxonomy places the organism in Eukaryota, Metazoa, Chordata, Actinopteri, Pleuronectiformes, Cynoglossidae.